Molecule: ribosomal RNA, 253 nt
Filed under: uncultured bacterium
Lineage: Bacteria
Description: partial 16S ribosomal RNA
Rfam family: Bacterial small subunit ribosomal RNA
Source: RNAcentral
UACAGAGGGGGCAAGCGUUGUUCGGAAUUACUGGGCGUAAAGGGCGCGUAGGCGGCCUUCUAAGUCGAACGUGAAAUCCCCGGGCUCAACCCGGGAACUGCGUCCGAUACUGGAAGGCUUGAGUGCGGGAGAGGAACGCGGAAUUCCAGGUGUAGCGGUGAAAUGCGUAGAGAUGUGGAGGAACACCGAUGGCGAAGGCAGCCCCCUGGGUCAAGAUUGACGCUCAUGCACGAAAGCGUGGGGAGCAAACAGG